GUGAAUCAUCGAAUCUUUGAACGCAUAUUGCGCUCUCUGGUAUUCCGGAGAGCAUGCUUGUUUGAGUAUCAGUAAACACCUCAAAUCCCUCUACUUGUUGGAGGAAUUUGGACUUGAGCAAUCCCAACUUUUCGAAAGAGAAGGCGGGUUGCUUGAAAUGCAGGUGCAGCUAGAUUCUUUCUUCUGAGCUAUAAGCAUACUUAUUUAAUCCCGUCAAACGGAUUAUUACUUUUGCUGCAGCUAACAUAAAGGUUGAAGAGUCGCUAUGGCUGACUGAUGCAGGAUUUAACAUUUCGCGCA
RNAcentral lists this unclassified non-coding RNA (300 nucleotides) under uncultured Mortierella. Its description in RNAcentral is "sequence contains 5.8S rRNA gene, ITS2". The stretch from base 1 to 71 matches the Rfam family "5.8S ribosomal RNA", at positions 84 to 154 of the family's 154-position model. The record is from RNAcentral. Lineage: Eukaryota; Fungi; Mortierellomycota; Mortierellomycetes; Mortierellales; Mortierellaceae.